Lepisosteus oculatus (spotted gar) is the source of this 120-nucleotide ribosomal RNA. Lineage: Eukaryota; Metazoa; Chordata; Actinopteri; Semionotiformes; Lepisosteidae. The record is from Rfam.
GCCAGCAGCCAUAUCACCCUGCAACUCACAACUGGUAGCCCCACAGAAGCUCAGCAGGUGUGAGCCUGGUCAGUACCUGGAUGGGAGACCUCCUGGGGAAAAGUAAGGUUGCUGCUGGAA